This 548-nucleotide ribosomal RNA is filed under the name uncultured bacterium. Its description in RNAcentral is "bacterial SSU rRNA". It matches the Rfam family "Bacterial small subunit ribosomal RNA", at positions 355 to 894 of the family's 1533-position model. The record is from RNAcentral.
UAGGGAAUCUUCCGCAAUGGGCGAAAGCCUGACGGAGCAACGCCGCGUGAGUGAAGAAGGUCUUCGGAUCGUAAAACUCUGUUAUUAGGGAAGAACAAAUGUGUAAGUAACUAUGCACGUCUUGACGGUACCUAAUCAGAAAGCCACGGCUAACUACGUGCCAGCAGCCGCGGUAAUACGUAGGUGGCAAGCGUUAUCCGGAAUUAUUGGGCGUAAAGCGCGCGUAGGCGGUUUUUUAAGUCUGAUGUGAAAGCCCACGGUUCAACCGUGGAGGGUCAUUGGAAACUGGAAAACUUGAGUGCAGAAGAGGAAAGUGGAAUUCCAUGUGUAGCGNUGAAAUGCGCAGAGAUAUGGAGGAACACCAGUGGCGAAGGCGACUUUCUGGUCUGUAACUGACGCUGAUGUGCGAAAGCGNGGGGGAUCAAACAGGAUUAGAUACCCUGGUAGUCCACGCCGUAAACGAUGAGUGCUAAGUGUUAGGGGGUUUCCGCCCCUUAGUGCUGCAGCUAACGCAUUAAGCACUCCGCCUGGGAGUACGACCGCAAGUU